Molecule: microRNA precursor, 189 nt
Filed under: Oryza brachyantha (malo sina)
Lineage: Eukaryota; Viridiplantae; Streptophyta; Magnoliopsida; Poales; Poaceae
Description: MIR812 microRNA precursor family
Rfam family: MIR812 microRNA precursor family
Source: Rfam by way of RNAcentral
UUUUCGUUUUUCCGUGUUCAACGUUUAACUAUUCGUUUUAUUUGAAAAAUUUGUAAAAAACUUAAAAAAUUAAAAAAAUUAGUCACGUAUAAAGUACUAUUCAUAUUUUAUCAUCUAAUAAUAAUAAAAAUAUUAAUCGCAAAAAAAUUUCAAAUAAAACGAAUGGUCAAACGUUGAACACGGAAAAAC